RNAcentral lists this ribosomal RNA (735 nucleotides) under uncultured Archaeospora. Its description in RNAcentral is "LSU rRNA". It matches the Rfam family "Eukaryotic large subunit ribosomal RNA", at positions 47 to 694 of the family's 3401-position model. Lineage: Eukaryota; Fungi; Glomeromycota; Glomeromycetes; Archaeosporales; Archaeosporaceae. The record is from RNAcentral.
UAAGCGGAGGAAAAGAAACUAACAAUGAUUCCCCUAGUCAACUGCGAGUGAAGAGGGACAAGCUCAAAUUUUAAAUCCGUUGGGUUUACCUAACCGAGUUGUAAUUUGAAGAGGCGUUUUCUGCGUUUUUGAUCAGUCCAAGUCCUUUGGGAUAAGGCAUCAUGGAGGGUGAGAAUCCCGUCCGGUUGAUCGGAUUCGCUUUACGAUACGUCAUCUAAGAGUCAAGUUGUUUGGGAUUGCAGCUUAAAAUGGGAGGUAAAUUUCUCCUAAGGCUAAAUAUUGGCGAGAGACCGAUAGCGAACAAGUACCGUGAGGGAAAGAUGAAAAGAACUUUGAAAAGAGAGUUAAACAGUACGUGAAAUUGUUGAAAGGGAAACGAUUGAAGUCAGUCAUGCCAGUGAGAAAUCAGCUUACAGGCUACUGUGAGUGCACUUUUUCGCAAGGCAGGUUAACAUCGGUUUUUGUUUGCGUCAUAAUGAUUGUAGGAAGGUGGCUCCUUCGGGAGUGUUAUAGCCUACUUUAGAUGGCGCGACGAGGACUGAGGAUUGCAGCGAAUGCCUUUGGCUACGGAUCUUUUCUUUGUUGAUCUUCAGUCGGUUGUCAGCUUGCUGACGAUCGGCUGAUAGGUUUGCAAUAGGAUGGAAUUCGAUAAAUUCGCUAAGGAUGUUGACGUAAUGGCUUUAAACGACCCGUCUUGAAACACGGACCAAGGAGUCUAAGAUGUGUGCGAGUGUU